RNAcentral lists this ribosomal RNA (467 nucleotides) under uncultured bacterium. RNAcentral's name for it is "partial 16S ribosomal RNA". It matches the Rfam family "Bacterial small subunit ribosomal RNA", at positions 28 to 507 of the family's 1533-position model. The record is from RNAcentral.
GACGAACGCUGGCGGCGUGCUUAACACAUGCAAGUCGAACGGAAAGGCCCUGCUUUUGUGGGGUGCUCGAGUGGCGAACGGGUGAGUAACACGUGAGUAACCUGCCCUUGACUUUGGGAUAACUUCAGGAAACUGGGGCUAAUACCGGAUAGGAGCUCCUGCUGCAUGGUGGGGGUUGGAAAGUUUCGGCGGUUGGGGAUGGACUCGCGGCUUAUCAGCUUGUUGGUGGGGUAGUGGCUUACCAAGGCUUUGACGGGUAGCCGGCCUGAGAGGGUGACCGGCCACAUUGGGACUGAGAUACGGCCCAGACUCCUACGGGAGGCAACAGUGGGGAAUAUUGCACAAUGGGCGGAAGCCUGAUGCAGCAACGCCGCGUGCGGGAUGAGGCCUUCGGGUUGUAAACCGCUUUCGCCUGUGACGAAGCGUGAGUGACGGUAAUGGGUAAAGAAGCACCGGCUAACUACGUG